AGUGAACGCUGGCGGUAGGCCUAACACAUGCAAGUCGAACGGCAGCACAGUAAGAUCUUGCUCUUACGGGUGGCGAGUGGCGGACGGGUGAGGAAUACAUCGGAAUCUACUUUUUCGUGGGGGAUAACGUAGGGAAACUUACGCUAAUACCUCAUAUGACCUACGGGUUAAAGCAGUGGAUCUUCGGACCUUGCGCGAUUGUAUGAGCCGAUGUCGGAUUAGCUAGUUGGCGGGGUAAAGGCACACCAAGGCGACGAUCCGUAGCUGGUCUGAGAGGAUGAUCGGCCACACUGGAACUGAGACACGGUCCAGACUCCUACGGGAGGCAGCAGUGGGGAAUCUUGGGCAAUGGGCGCAAGCCUGAUCCAGCCAUACCGCGUGAGUGAAGAAGGCCUUCGGGUUGUAAAGCCCUUUUGUUGGGAAAGAAAAGCAGCGGGUUAAUACCCCGCUGUUCUGACGGUACCCAAAGAAUAAGCACCGGCUAACUUCGUG
Molecule: ribosomal RNA, 492 nt
Filed under: uncultured bacterium
Lineage: Bacteria
Description: partial 16S ribosomal RNA
Rfam family: Bacterial small subunit ribosomal RNA
Source: RNAcentral